This 8174-nucleotide long non-coding RNA is filed under the name Coffea arabica (coffee). RNAcentral's name for it is "long non-coding RNA (CARA_LNC005093)". The record is from RNAcentral. Lineage: Eukaryota; Viridiplantae; Streptophyta; Magnoliopsida; Gentianales; Rubiaceae.
GUUGGACAGCUUUAGAACAGAAAUCUUGACCGAAAUUCCUCCAAGAAAACCGAUGAACAGCCCCCUCUUCCAAGCUAGGAACAAAGCCCUCUAAUGGAUGAUGAAAUUUGGAAGUGGAUUGAGGUAAUUUUGUAAGGAUUUUGGCUAGAUUUUUCUUCCCAUCUUCUGCCCAAUAGAGAGUGACGAGAGGAGAGAGAAUGAAAUCAGGUAUUGUAAUGAAAGUGGAGAGAAUUGGAGCCUUAAGUCUAAGUGUCAACUCAUGCUAGGUCUGUUUAGGGUUUUCGCGUGUCCAAUUUUCGCGCUCGUUUGCAACUUUUGUGCACUAAACCUCUGAGGUAAUUUCCCUAGUACAUUAAUAGAACAUUACUAGUAGUCUAAUAUCAUGUUCUUAAAAUCUCCAAUUAAUCAAAUUAAUGUGCCUGUCGGGGCCUUUUCGGCACGCGCGCGUAUAAAGGUCAAACUUAAGGGUUUUUUCGUUUGAACUUGGAAAUUCAACUUAUUCGAUUCUAAAACUCUAAAAUAUGAUAAUCCAAAUAUAUAUAUAUAACAAUAAAAAUCACGAUAAGCAAUUCAUCUUGAAUAAAUUUGGGCAUUAAAAUAAUAUACGCGUAAAGAACCAAUCGGUAAAAUUUAUUUUCGAGAAAUUCAUGUACUUUAGUAUUUUUUUUUUGGGUAACUCGAGUACGAAAUAUUUUUAAAAUGACCAAUUUAACAAUAUUUUGAAAUAAUAAAAUUAUUGGUCCUCAUAUCCUCUCCCCCUUAAGAGAAUUUCGUUCUCGAAAUUCAUACCUUAACUCAAAAACUCCAGAUGUCACUUUUGCAUCCCAUUCUUACGAAUUGUAAAACUUUUUCUGCAUUAAAUAUCAUGUAAGUCUUGUAUUCUUAAUCUGUUCACGACGAGCGAGAUAACAAUUCCUUCAUGCGGUUCACAGAUUCAAUUGCCUCAAGAAAUUUGUCAAUUCAAGAACAAAUGAUGUAAUAGCCCUUUAAAUUGGUAUACGCAAUGAACUUUAAAUAUCUCGCAGAUCAAAUUCAAUAAGAUCUUAUUAGCACACAAGUUUUGUCCUACUGGACCUUAACCCUAGUAAUCUUUCAAAAUAGAUAGUAAGAGCCCUCAAGAAUCAAUAACUUCAAAAUCAUAUCUAGUUCCGUACACAUGUAUGCAAAUAUUGAAGUACGAAUUGAAACCUUACAUUCAAUAAUAUCUUAUUGUAGUCCCCAAGUCAUUUAUGAGUAUUAUUGCCAAUUUUUAACCCAAAUACGACUUAAAGACCCAAAUCCAUUAAUGCUACUGGUGUAUUCAUUACUCCCAAUGGCAUAAUUGAAUUUCAAAGUGCUUACUUUUCUGAUGAACUAGCCUUAAUCAUAUCUUCCUCUAGAAUCCUCAAUUAGUUGUAGACCUGUAUUAAAUCUAACUUGGAAAGUACUACUGUCUCUUGUAGAUACCCAAAUGAUUCAUUUAUGCAAGGUAAAAGAUAUUUAUUCCUGAUACCCACUUGAUUCCAGUCUCGAUAUUAUAGACAUGGCUUUCUCAAAAGGUUAUAAGCAUAACAAAAUUUAGAUAUACGAAUAAGUCAUGAAAUUGAUUAAAUGCAAAGUAAACUUUCAUUUGCUAUAAAAGACCAUAAUAGUUUCAUAAAGUUAGGAUAAGUUUAUCAAAUCAUUUCAAAAGAAAAGAGAAUAAACAAUAUUGUAGCAAAACAUGCUAAGUCAUCCAUGUUCAAAGCAACAAAAGAUUUCAUCCCUUACACAAAAGAUUACAACCUUCAAAAGUCUCAGCAUAGGCUAGGUUAUAAUCAUAAUUCCUGUCCUUAAGCAAAAUCAAAUCCAUCUUCACUCGUAGAGCUUCUAAUACUUUGGUUCUUCUCACAACCAUUAGUAUUAACAACUCCCUCUAACACUCGACUGUUUUGCAGCAGACUUAACGAGCUGCUGAGGAGUUCAUCGGGCAACUUAAAACUUAAUGCUCAGGACUCCCGCAUAGCAAGCAUUUGCUUGUUUCCUUCAGCCCAUAAUCUCAGUGUGAUUAAACUUGCCACAGUAUCCACAAGUUACGGCCUGAUUAGCUUGAGAAUUCUCCUUUUUCUUUUUCUUCUUUUCUCUCUGCUCCACAACAAAUUCAUGUUCACAUCUCUCUUUACGUUUCCCUUUUUUCAUUAUGGGAGUUUCCUUCACUACCCUUAACUUGGUUGCUAGAAAUAUACUGAGGUGAAACUUGAAUAGUGGGUCGCAUCCCCUCAAGUUUUUUUUUCUUUCCUGAAGUUCCUCCAAUACUCCUUCGUAUUUCUUUUUCAUUUCCAAUUUCUUGUUCCAUAAUUCCAUCUUCUCUACAAACUCUUGUUUGCAUCGUUCUUCCCAGAAUUCAACCAAUUUAGUCUGAAAUUCCAACUCCUUGCGAAGAACUUUUAUUUCUAUACGCAUCUCUUCCAAACUUUUCAUUUCAUCCAUUUGCUUAAUCCUAACUGUCAGCCUAUCAACAACUCAAAGCAUCUAAAUGAGUACCAAAUCAAAAUUUAAAACUUAACUAUCCACAACCUAUAAAUUCUCACGCAUCUAAGUCAUCCAGGUAUAUUUACUCUUACCUCUCCACGAAUUUGAUACGUAAGAAAAUUCACACCUACAAAUAAAGUAAUACCCCUUGAUAUAAUGAUAUGUACUUCCGUUCUAAGGUCUUACUCACGUAUGUAGUGAAACCAUAAAUUACACGCCAUAAGAAACAAGUUCCAAACCUUGACUAAAAACUGUUACGCACUAAUAAGACCAGAAUCCUUUUCCUCAAAAGUUUGUCUAAAUCAAAUCAAUCAUGACCUACAAGAUAAAGUCGAGACUUUUGAUAUAUUUUGAAUGUAUCUGUGGCAAAAUGCGAUUCAAAAUUUUCAAAAUUAUAGUUAAAGAUACAAAUUUUCUUCAUGAUCCAAAACUAAAUUUUCUUAGUAAGAGAUUUCAAAUAAUGUUUAACCACAAUCAUCAAUACAUAUUUCAAAUCUCUCAAAUAGAUUUAAGAAGAUUAAUCAUGCAACUUAAUGCAUGAAUUUUAAAACAUAUAUAUAAUAAUCAUAACAUAUACAUGGAGGGUGUUCCAACACUUUUCCUCAAAGUUUCGAGUUAAAUCUAUGUUCGGGUAAAGCGUAUAUUUUAGAAAAUACCUUUAAGAAAGAUAAAUAGACAUGUAGGUUCAUAUUCGCAUAACCUGUGAUCCAACACCUUUACCACCCUUUUAUAUCCAAACCAAGAGCUAACUCUACUAGUACAUAAAACCCGAUCAUUUCUAAUCUCUGAUUCAUAACAAAUAGGCAUUCAUGUUCCUAAGAAAAGAUUCGAACUUGAACUCUAUCUGAUUUCGAUUCUCAAACGAGUUCAAAAUGUGUAUACAUAUAUAUAUAUAUAUAUAUAUAAAUUUUGUGAAAAAGUAAAACAAGUGAAUCUGGGUAUAGUAAUUGUCAAGUAAAAUUGAAAGCGCUUUUGUUCAAGUAGAAUAAAUAGGUAAUGAGUUCAAAUCAUCUCACCAAACCAACGAAAUACUUUCGGAGUUCAAACUUCAUAAAAGUUGAAAGAUGGCCAUAGGACCACUCAUAAUAUACGUAUAAAGCAACUAUUAAAAUUUUGCACAAGAAAAUCUCAUCAAGUUCCCAACUAGGUUAAUCCAUUAUACACUGGUAGAUCUAAUCUUCUGGUUUAUUCUCGAUUCAUAUUCAGUACUAGGGUCUCAUUAAAUUAUAUAAGACUAUCCAUCAAUUUUGUCAUGAGUACAGGGUUGUCUAAACCCUGGGCCACGACCCCUUUUUCCCAUUCCUGCUGCUAUACUUAAUAGAAGUCUAUAAGCACAAGAAAAGGAAUAAUUAAGCAUAAAAGAACUUAAUGCAUAUACAAGUUGCAAAAAUAUUUAGAAUCAAAACAUGCUUCUUUACAUGUAUCAAAAGUUAUAGCAUGAGUUAGAAGUCACAAAACAAGCCCAAUAUGUCAAAUACUGCAUAUAGGCAAUUAAGUGCCACAAAAUAUAGAAGUAUAUGCAAGCAGGAUACAAAAGGCCUCACGGCGUGCACCACCCUUCCUAAGUCCUUAGUUAAACCAAAGGAUCCAAAUAUCACUAAUUUCAAUUAGAUCACAUGCCUUUCCGAAAUUAGAUCCAAUCAAACCAUAACACAAGCUGAAACCAAAGGUUAUCCAUUCGAAAUUCAAAAUCUUUAAUAAGCAAGCCACCAGCCAGAGUACCAUCAUCUCCAAGAAUAACCAGUCUUAGGGUUUUAUAGUUAAAGCCUCAAGCUCCAAGUUCAAACCCAAGAAAUAAGUACAACUUGCUAACUUACGUGUCAAAUGGAAACCAAGUCAAUUCACACUAACUUCGUGCUCUUGAAUGCGGUUAUUCUAUAUUUCAAAGUUCCUUCAGCCCGUACACCUAAAGAUAGGCUCACUCUUCUUGAAAACCAAGAAUUUUAAAACAUAAGAAGAGUAAUCAAAGUAACCAAAAAUCUUAUCAAGUUCAAGAUUUACAUUAUAAAAACAUAAGUUCGCCAUUCUUCCGAAAACUCAAGAUUUUUUUUUUUUGUAAAGCAUAGACAAAUUCAGGUGUGAGAAUACACCAGUAUACAAUCAAGGGGAAAAACUUAGUUUAGAAAAUUUUAAUCUUGUAUCAGCCCAUCAUAUACAAAAUUCAACAAACUCAUCAGUUAUUCACAAAUUUUCAGAUUGAAAUUCAAGUAAAAUUCACAUAUUUACCAAAAUCAGAAAAUUAUACAUACUUAAAGUAUAUAUAUAUUAUUUCCAAUCAUCGUUUGAAAAUAAAACUAGUACAUCCUCGUUUUUCUUUAGAAUUUCAAAGCAGAAAUUCUCUAGGAGGUAAAUGGGCGGGAAAAUGCAUUUUAUUCCUUUGAAACUCUUUUAUCUUGGUUCAAAAUCACCAUACAUGGAGUUUGAUCAUCAAAUCCCGGUCUCUUAUCCUCUAUAGCCAGUACUAAUAAUUGUCUCAAUUCUUUCCAUACUUACAAGUAUAAUAAUAAUUCAAAUUCAUCCAAUCUUUCACUACUAAUCCUCAUCCCAUAUUUUCCAUCAAUAUAACAUCACCUAAUUCCUCAAUUUUUUUUUUAUUUCUACAAGUCCCAAGUAAGAAACUCUCAAAUAAUCAAUUUCUGUAACCCCUAGGAUACAAUAGGUACUCAUUCACAUAAUAUUCAAAUUACUCCCACAGUCAGGCAUCCAAAACUUUAAGUCUAGGAUACACUACGAGAUCUAGGGCCUGGGCUCUGAUACCAACUGUGACAGCCCCACCUCCCCCUAAGGCGAACCAAAGGGUUCGGCGGACCACCUGCCCAACUCUCGCCGGGACUCACUACAGUCCUCAACUAAAAUACAUCACUCACAUCCAAUAACAUAGGGCACAACCUCAAGAAUAAACGAAAUAACAUUUUUCAAACUUAGAACGAGAUAAGAUACAUUACAAAUCUCAAGUAAGGGUAUCAUUCCCCGAAUAAAAUAAAAGUCCUCAGUUCUCAAAUAAUUACAUCAAAUACUUAUCAAGAGAAUCGAAUUCAAAUUAUAUAUGAGAUAUCCUUUCAGGCACUAAUCACUCAAUACAAGCGCUUUCUUUGGCCUCGAGCCUUGUGGGAAAAAAUUAUUUUUGGGGGUCACUAAUUAAGUCUCAGAACUUCCACUUCCAAACCUGUUAAGGAAAACAAAUUGGGGUGAGCUAACGCUCAGUGAGGCCAAGGGAAAAACAUGCAAGCAUGCUAGCAAAGAUACAAUAUAAAGCAAUAACUCGAGUAACCAAUAAUUGCGAAACAUUAAGCAAUUAGAGAAUUUAAUCACAAUAAAAGGAUACGGGAGCUCUCAGGAGCUAAUCCACGCGCGAUCCAAGCUCAGGUAGUUGACCCUCCGUCAACUUUCACAGUUAUCCAUGUAGAACUCCACUUACUACCUCCAGCCACCAUGACACCCUCUUGGAUCCGUAACCAAACAAGCAUGUAGGUGGUAUCAUUUAACAAGUAUACCUAGCAAGACCCCUUAUUUGGAUCAAGCUAUAACACUGCCCAAGAUUCACCAAGUUUCUCGACCAAGCCCUUGCCGGCUCGAGUUACAAGGCUAGCCAAUGGGUUGGGGCGUCCCCCCCAUUCACUUUUAGGUUGAUGAGACGAAACUCCAAUCGACAAGAUUUGGUCAUAGCAUUGAGACGGGAUGAGCGGUACCUCCUACCCUAAAAGGGCAUGAUACAUUCUGCUGCUCAAUGCUCACGAAAAACACUUUCAUUUGCAUUCACAUGUAACACGUAUCACUUAUUAAGCAAGCAAUUUCAUGAAAGAGAGGACAAGGGCGAUAAAGUACGCCCUAGCCUCAUUAACUAGCAAGUACAAGAAUCAUUUCAUUUAAACACUUCACAUGCACUUGAUACUCACCAAGUAUCAAAAGUCAAAGUUUGAGAAAUUAGCUCUAAGACGCUUCGCCGGGAGUUCCCUCGAAGUCCUCUUGAGAUCCUAAAAGUAUGCAAUAAUGCAUUGUAUCUCAAAUUCCAGGCCAUACAGUAUUCGUGUAAAGAAAAGAAAUUGUCAAUUUUGACUCCAAAAUUCAAGUUUCCAAAGUAUUUCAGUUCAUAAGAAACCGACUUUCAAAUGAGGUCUCAAGUGAUAGGUAAACUCAAGUUCACCAUGAAAAUAGGUUUGAAAUGCUCUAAGAGUUGUAAAAAUGUAACCUAGGCCCUUAAAAGAACAUUUAGGUCCAAAUUGGAAAUUUUCAUUUUUCUCGUCAUUCUUGGAAAAAUCAGUUCGGAAGUUCGGAAAGUCUAAAAAUGGAAAAUUUUACACCGUCAAAAACUUCAUUCGAAGCAUAACAACUUUACAGAAGGUCACUUUCCAAGAAUCAAAUCAGAAACAAGUCAAUUUCUCCAAGAAAGUUUACUAUGCAUUGAAGAUAGGUCAAAACAGUCCAAGUUUUCCCAAUAAUUUUGGAAUUUCGUUAAAAAUCAUAGAAUCAAAACUAGCCUUUGAAAUUUGAUAUGCAUGUAAAUUUCCAAUCCAGGUUUCAAAUAAAAAAAAAUGGAACUCGAUUCCGAUGUUCCUUGCUCAAGAAAUAAAAAGUUUAAGUUCACUAAAAUUCCUGGACUGUUGGCCUUUCCAGAAAUUUUCCAGAUUUAAUGCACUUCGCUAAUUAGGCCGUAUCUCACUCGAUUCUCAGUGAAAUUGAAAACGGUUGGUGGAUUUAGAAACUAGGUUUACAAGGCUAUAUUUGUGUAGAAGAAAUCAUUUCCAAAAUCCAGACAUAAGUGGUUCAAAAUCAAGCAGAAAAAUGGAUUUUCUGGACAGUCUCGGAUGAACAGUAAUAAGCAGGCAGCCAACUUUCAAAACUCGCCACGAGUCGCUCGGGAUGAACUAGAAAAUGAGCUUGGUACCAUUUUAAAGCUCUAAGAGUCUACUUUCAAAUGCUGCAAAUGGCAGUCCAGUUCGAUCAACGAGCAAAACGUUAUAGCUACACAAAUGUUGCUGGUCAGAAAAUUCUGGAGCUUGUUCCAGUUUUGCUUCUUUACUUGUAACUCAAAAUUUAACCAACCAUUUGGGUUGAUUUUUGGUAGACAACCACAAUACACAUAACACAACAUAUCUACACCAAUUUGGAAGCUCAAUUUGCACCAGAAAAUUUUCGAAAUUACAGGGCAGCAGCAAACAAGAAAGUCGGCAGCAAGUCAGAAAUUUCAGACAGUACCUUUUCCAAAUUUCUAACUUUCUUCCAACUUCAUUCCAUCAAUCAUUCUAUAUACAUGUAACAUAGCACAAUAUCAGCAACCAAAACAUGUUAAUUCAUCAAAUCAGCCACCAAUAAGCAUCCUCAAACCCUCGAGCAUGUCAUGAAAUUGCAAGAACAUAAUUACUCAACCAAUCAACCCAAAUUCUACCAUAGGUUGCAAACCCAUGCUACCUUUGCUCCAUUUGAGCUAUAAUUUUGCAAGAUUGAAGUGUGGGUGAGUGAGUUACCUCAAAAACUUAGUUGGACAGCUUUAGAGCAGAAAUCUUGACCGAAAUUCCUCCAAGAAAACCGAUGAACAGCCCCCUCUUCCAAGCUAGGAUCAAAGCCCUCUAAUGGAUGAUGAAAUUUGGAAGUGGAUUGAGGUAAUUUUGUAAGGAUUUUGGCUAGAUUUUUCUUCCCAUCUUCUGCCCAAUAGAGAGUGACGAGAGGAGAGAGAAUGAAAUCAG